RNAcentral lists this ribosomal RNA (306 nucleotides) under uncultured soil bacterium. RNAcentral's name for it is "bacterial SSU rRNA". It matches the Rfam family "Bacterial small subunit ribosomal RNA", at positions 26 to 330 of the family's 1533-position model. The record is from RNAcentral.
AGAUUGAACGCUGGCGGCAGGCCUAACACAUGCAAGUCGAGCGGUAGAGAGGUGCUUGCACCUCUUGAGAGCGGCGGACGGGUGAGUAAUGCCUAGGAAUCUGCCUAGUGGUGGGGGAUAACGUUCGGAAACGGACGCUAAUACCGCAUACGGUCCGUACGGGAGAAAGCGGGGGACCUUCGGGCCUCGCGCCAUUAGAUGAGCCUAGGUCGGAUUAGCGUAGUUGGUAGAGGUAAUGGCUCACCAAGGCGACGAUCCGUAACUGGUCUGAGAGGAUGAUCAGUCACACUGGAACUGAGACACGGU